Molecule: ribosomal RNA, 253 nt
Filed under: uncultured bacterium
Lineage: Bacteria
Description: partial 16S ribosomal RNA
Rfam family: Bacterial small subunit ribosomal RNA
Source: RNAcentral
UACGAAGGGGGCGAGCGUUGUUCGGAUUUACUGGGCGUAAAGGGCGCGCAGGCGGCUAUCCAAGUCAGGCGUGAAAGCCCCGGGCUUAACCUGGGAGGUGCGUCUGGGACUGGGUGGCUAGAGUUCGGGAGAGGAGAGUGGAAUCCCCAGUGUAGAGGUGAAAUUCGUAGAUAUUGGGAAGAACACCGGUGGCGAAGGCGGCUCUCUGGACCGAGACUGACGCUGAGGCGCGAAAGCGUGGGGAGCAAACAGG